RNAcentral lists this ribosomal RNA (774 nucleotides) under Collemopsidium sp. s450. RNAcentral's name for it is "LSU rRNA". It matches the Rfam family "Eukaryotic large subunit ribosomal RNA", at positions 648 to 1407 of the family's 3401-position model. The record is from RNAcentral. Lineage: Eukaryota; Fungi; Ascomycota; Collemopsidiomycetes; Collemopsidiales; Xanthopyreniaceae.
CCCGUCUUGAAACACGGACCAAGGAGUCUAACAUCCACGCGAGCGUUUGGGCGAAGAGAAAACCCCCGGCGCGCAAUGAAAGUGAACGGAGGUGGGAACCCCCGUGAAAAGGGGCGCACCAUCGACCGAUCCUGAUGUCUUCGGAUGGAUUUGAGUAGGAGCGUGGCUGUUGGGACCCGAAAGAUGGUGAACUUUGCAUGGAUAGGGUGAAGCCAGAGGAAACUCUGGUGGAGGCUCGCAGCGGUUCUGACGUGCAAAUCGAUCGUCAAAUCAGUGCAAAGGGGCGAAAGACUAAUCGAACCGUCUAGUAGCUGGUUCCUGCCGAAGUUUCCCUCAGGAUAGCAGUAACGGAAGAUCUCAGUUUUAUGAGGUAGAGCGAAUGAUUAGAGGCCUUGGGGCUGAAGCAGCCUUAACCUAUUCUCAAACUUCGAAUAUGUAAGAAGUCCUUGUUGCUUCGUUGAACGUGGACACUCGAAUGCAUCGUUACUAGUGGGCCAUUUUUGGUAAGCAGAACUGGCGAUGCGGGAUGAACCGAACGCGAGGUUAAGGUGCCGGAAUGCACGCUCAUCAGACACCACAAAAGGUGUUGGUUCAUCCAGACAGCAGGACGGUGGCCAUGGAAGUCGGAACCCGCUAAGGAGUGUGUAACAACUCACCUGCCGAAUGAACCAGCCCUGAAAAUGGAUGGCGCUCAAGCGUGCUACCCAUACCUCGCCGCCGGGGGGCAGGACUUGAAGCCCCGGCGAGUAGGCAGGCGCGGCGGUCGGUGACGAA